This 267-nucleotide long non-coding RNA is filed under the name Columba livia (rock pigeon). RNAcentral describes it as "partial uncharacterized LOC102094485". The record is from RNAcentral. Lineage: Eukaryota; Metazoa; Chordata; Aves; Columbiformes; Columbidae.
GGCAAUGUGACAAUUACUGGAAGAUACCUGUUAGUAACAGCUGCUUUUCCAUGGGAGCCUGAGGAGUGCGUGUUCCAGAUGAAAGGAAGUGGAAUGCAUCUGAGAGAGCAGCCAAGUUUUGAUGGCUUUUUCUUGCUGAUGUUAUUGGCAGGUACCUACAGAGAAGGAUCUGCACUGACUUGGGUUAUCUGGGAAUUGACUGUUGCAGCCAGUUACUGUGCCCAGAGCAGCCAGCUGGAGCUGAGGAAUGCUGCUGCGCAUGAAGAA